RNAcentral lists this unclassified non-coding RNA (378 nucleotides) under Hevea brasiliensis (rubber tree). Lineage: Eukaryota; Viridiplantae; Streptophyta; Magnoliopsida; Malpighiales; Euphorbiaceae. The record is from RNAcentral.
UAAUCCUAUGACUAACAUCCUCUUGAGAGGGUGUGAAUUAAAAAAAAUUUAUUUCCUGUUUAUCUAGUUUAGACCCAUGGAUUAGUGAUUGUUCUUAAUUAACUCCAUUACUUUUUUGUUCUUAAUUAACUCCAUCACUUUUUUUUUCUUUUAAUUCAGUGUUACUGAAUCCUUCCACCCCUCCUCUCCUAUCCUUGAGCUUUUAAGAGAAGCUAUUGGUCUUAAAUUUCUUCAAAUGUGGUCUCUUAUAUUUCUGAGAGUAACGGCUGUAGUUUUAGCAAAGAUUUUGCCUUGAUUCUUUCUUAUGCUUAGUGCACAAUUUUUUCCCAGUUGCUAUAUUAUUUUUAAGAUUUUCCUCUUAGUCUUCCCAUUCUGCAG